Molecule: ribosomal RNA, 460 nt
Filed under: uncultured bacterium
Lineage: Bacteria
Description: partial 16S ribosomal RNA
Rfam family: Bacterial small subunit ribosomal RNA
Source: RNAcentral
CCUACGGGUGGCAGCAGUGAGGAAUAUUGGUCAAUGGACGAGAGUCUGAACCAGCCAAGUAGCGUGAAGGAUGACUGCCCUAUGGGUUGUAAACUUCUUUUAUAUGGGAAUAAAACGUUCCACGUGUGGGAUUUUGUAUGUACCAUAUGAAUAAGGAUCGGCUAACUCCGUGCCAGCAGCCGCGGUAAUACGGAGGUGCCGAGCGUUAUCCGGAUUUAUUGGGUUUAAAGGGAGCGUAGGUGGAUUGUUAAGUCAGUUGUGAAAGUUUGCGGCUCAACCGUAAAAUUGCAGUUGAAACUGGCAGUCUUGAGGACAGUAGAGGUGGGCGGAAUUCGUGGUGUAGCGGUGAAAUGCUUAGAUAUCACGAAGAACUCCGAUUGCGAAGGCAGUUCACUGGACUGCAACUGACACUGAGGCUCGAAAGUGUGGGUAUCAAACAGGAUUAGAUACCCGAGUAGUC